RNAcentral lists this ribosomal RNA (744 nucleotides) under Priestia flexa. RNAcentral's name for it is "bacterial SSU rRNA". It matches the Rfam family "Bacterial small subunit ribosomal RNA", at positions 56 to 782 of the family's 1533-position model. The record is from RNAcentral. Lineage: Bacteria; Bacillati; Bacillota; Bacilli; Caryophanales; Bacillaceae.
UGCAGUCGAGCGAACUGAUUAGAAGCUUGCUUCUAUGACGUUAGCGGCGGACGGGUGAGUAACACGUGGGCAACCUGCCUGUAAGACUGGGAUAACUCCGGGAAACCGGAGCUAAUACCGGAUAACAUUUUUUCUUGCAUAAGAGAAAAUUGAAAGAUGGUUUCGGCUAUCACUUACAGAUGGGCCCGCGGUGCAUUAGCUAGUUGGUGAGGUAACGGCUCACCAAGGCAACGAUGCAUAGCCGACCUGAGAGGGUGAUCGGCCACACUGGGACUGAGACACGGCCCAGACUCCUACGGGAGGCAGCAGUAGGGAAUCUUCCGCAAUGGACGAAAGUCUGACGGAGCAACGCCGCGUGAGUGAUGAAGGCUUUCGGGUCGUAAAACUCUGUUGUUAGGGAAGAACAAGUACAAGAGUAACUGCUUGUACCUUGACGGUACCUAACCAGAAAGCCACGGCUAACUACGUGCCAGCAGCCGCGGUAAUACGUAGGUGGCAAGCGUUAUCCGGAAUUAUUGGGCGUAAAGCGCGCGCAGGCGGUUUCUUAAGUCUGAUGUGAAAGCCCACGGCUCAACCGUGGAGGGUCAUUGGAAACUGGGGAACUUGAGUGCAGAAGAGAAAAGCGGAAUUCCACGUGUAGCGGUGAAAUGCGUAGAGAUGUGGAGGAACACCAGUGGCGAAGGCGGCUUUUUGGUCUGUAACUGACGCUGAGGCGCGAAAGCGUGGGGAGCAAACAGGAUUAGA